Molecule: ribosomal RNA, 583 nt
Filed under: uncultured bacterium
Lineage: Bacteria
Description: bacterial SSU rRNA
Rfam family: Bacterial small subunit ribosomal RNA
Source: RNAcentral
ACGGGUGAGUAACACGUGGGCAACCUGCCCUUGAGACUGGGAUAACUUCGGGAAACCGGAGCUAAUACCGGAUAAUAUAAGGAACCUCCUGGUUCCUUGUUGAAAGAUGGUUUCGGCUAUCACUUAAGGAUGGGCCCGCGGCGCAUUAGCUAGUUGGUGAGGUAACGGCUCACCAAGGCGACGAUGCGUAGCCGACCUGAGAGGGUGAUCGGCCACACUGGGACUGAGACACGGCCCAGACUCCUACGGGAGGCAGCAGUAGGGAAUCUUCCACAAUGGACGAAAGUCUGAUGGAGCAACGCCGCGUGAGUGAUGAAGGCCUUCGGGUCGUAAAGCUCUGUUGUUAGGGAAGAACAAGUGCGAGAGUAACUGCUCGCACCUUGACGGUACCUAACCAGAAAGCCACGGCUAACUACGUGCCAGCAGCCGCGGUAAUACGUAGGUGGCAAGCGUUAUCCGGAAUUAUUGGGCGUAAAGCGCGCGCAGGUGGUUUCUUAAGUCUGAUGUGAAAGCCCACGGCUCAACCGUGGAGGGUCAUUGGAAACUGGGGAACUUGAGUGCAGAAGAGGAAAGUGGUAUUCCA